Molecule: ribosomal RNA, 253 nt
Filed under: uncultured bacterium
Lineage: Bacteria
Description: partial 16S ribosomal RNA
Rfam family: Bacterial small subunit ribosomal RNA
Source: RNAcentral
UACGAAGGGUGCAAGCGUUAAUCGUAAUUACUGGGCGUAAAGCGUGCGUAGGCGGUUUGUUAAGUCUGUUGUGAAAUCCCCGGGCUCAACCUGGGAAUGGCAAUGGAUACUGGCAAGCUAGAGUGUGAUAGAGGAUGGUGGAAUUCCCGGUGUAGCGGUGAAAUGCGUAGAGAUCGGGAGGAACAUCAGUGGCGAAGGCGGCCAUCUGGAUCAACACUGACGCUGAGGCACGAAAGCGUGGGGAGCAAACAGG